GAAUGUGACUAAAGUGAUGGUACGGGACUUCCAAGGCUGCGAGCUCGAAGUGUGGCCUCUCCUUGCUGUUUCUUUGAUGGCUCAUUCUCAGGGAAGCCAGCUGCCAUGUUGUGAGAACACUCAAAGAGCCCUACGGGGAGGCCCACGCUGCAAGGGACAGGGGCCUCUGCAAGGGACAGGGGCCUCCUGCCCACAGCCAUGUGAGCACACCAUCUUGGAAGCAGAUCCAUAGGCCUUCGUCAGCCUUCAGAUGACCGCAGCCUUGCUGAUGUCCUAACUACAAAAUCUCAAGACACCCUGAGUCAGAAUCCCCCAGGCAUCUAACACACUGUCCAGCACGCAGCUUCACCUCCUCCAGGAAGCUUUCCUUGACUUCCCCUCUUCUGUGAUCCGAAGUGCCGUGUACACGGCUUCGUCAGGAAAGAAAACAAAGAAGGAACAUUAUCCAUGAGGAUAAAAGGAGUCCAAAGAAGAGAGAGAAAGCAACGGGCACAUAUGGCAGAAACUUCACGAACAUGUCAGACUUGGAGAUCUUCCAAGCCUGUACUUGUACUUGUAUCAAGUGAGAUCAUCAGAAAGUUCUGUACCAUGUGAAGUUAUCGUUCUUACCUCUCUGGAGUCAGCGUUUGAAUUUUUUUCUGUACUACGACGUCCAACGGUGGUCUGACAAAAUCCACAGGACCUUGUCUAGAGUGCAAAGGAGAAAAAGAAGUUAGAGCUGCCUGAGAUUUCUAGCCGAAAACUCUGGGUGGAAGAUGACAUGACAGCAGAGAGAGGAAAUUUGGAAAGAGACGCCACGUACACAGAGUGAAGCCAAAGAGGUUGGUUCUGGACAAUGUGCUAGUGCAAGUUCCUGUGGAGUAUCCAGGUUGAACAAGAACUAAAAACGUACACUGUAUAUUACAGUCUCAAAAUUUAAUAGUUCAUAUAUAUUUUUUAAAGAUUUUAUUUAGGGGAUCCCGGGGUGGCUCAGCGGUUUAGCACCU
This is a long non-coding RNA of Canis lupus familiaris (dog), 986 nucleotides long. RefSeq lists it as uncharacterized. The record is from RefSeq and is a predicted model, not a curated record. Lineage: Eukaryota; Metazoa; Chordata; Mammalia; Carnivora; Canidae. The transcript has 5 exons.